GAUGAAGAACGUAGCGAAAUGCGAUACGUAAUGUGAAUUGCAGAAUUCAGUGAAUCAUCGAAUCUUUGAACGCAUAUUGCGCUCUCUGGUAUUCCGGAGAGCAUGCUUGUUUGAGUAUCAGUAAACACCUCAACUUCCAUAUCUUUUUUGAAAUGGGAGUUGGACUUGAGUGAUCCCAACGCUUUUCCUCACCGAAAAGUGGCGGGUUACUUGAAAUGCAGGUGCAGCUGGACUUUUCUCUGAGCUAUAAGCAUAUCUAUUUAGUCUGCCUAAAAAACAGAUUAUUACCUUUGCUGAAGCUAACAUAAAGGAGAUUAGUUCUUGUGCUGACUGAUGCAGGAUUCACAAAGACAGCUUCGGCCGACUUUGUAAACUCGAUCUCAAAUCAAGUAAGACUACCCGCUGAACUUAAGCAUAUCAAUAAGCGGAGGA
RNAcentral lists this unclassified non-coding RNA (432 nucleotides) under soil metagenome. RNAcentral describes it as "partial contains 5.8S ribosomal RNA, internal transcribed spacer 2, and large subunit ribosomal RNA". The stretch from base 1 to 120 matches the Rfam family "5.8S ribosomal RNA", at positions 35 to 154 of the family's 154-position model. The record is from RNAcentral.